This 1187-nucleotide ribosomal RNA is filed under the name uncultured bacterium. RNAcentral describes it as "bacterial SSU rRNA". It matches the Rfam family "Bacterial small subunit ribosomal RNA", at positions 313 to 1502 of the family's 1533-position model. The record is from RNAcentral.
UCGGGACUGAGACACUGCCCGGACCUCCACGGAGGGCUGCAGUAACGAAUAUUGUGCAAUGGGCGAAAGCCUGACACAGCGACGCCGCGUGUAGGAUGAAGCCCCUCGGGGUGUAAACUACUGUCAGGGGUUAGAAAGUCUUCGGAUUGAUCAGCCCCAGAGGAAGUCACGGCUAACUUCGUGCCAGCAGCCGCGGUAAUACGAAGGUGGCAAGCGUUGUUCGGAAUCACUGGGCCUAAAGCGCGCGCAGGCGGAAAUACAGGUGUCAUGUGAAAGCCCUCGGCUUAACCGAGGAAUUGCGUGGCAAACGGUAUUUCUUGAGGCAAGUAGGGGUACAUGGAACUCUUGGUGGAGCGGUGGAAUGCGUAGAUAUCAAGAGGAACGCCAAAGGUGAAGACAGUGUACUGGGCUUGUCCUGACGCUGAGGUGCGAAAGCGUGGGGAGCGAACGGGAUUAGAUACCCCGGUAGUCCACGCUGCAAACGAUGUCUACUAGGUUGCGGGGGUUCUGACGCCGUCGCAGUCGUAGCAAAAGUGUUAAGUAGACCGCCUGGGGAGUACGGUCGCAAGGCUAAAACUCAAAGGAAUUGACGGGGGCUCACACAAGCGGUGGAGCAUGUGGAUUAAUUCGAAGCAACGCGCAGAACCUUACCUGGGUUUGACAUGCAUGUAUGCUUUCCGGGAAACUGGUUAAGCUGCCUUCGGGUGAAACUUGCACAGGUGCUGCAUGGCUGUCGUCAGCUCGUGUCGUGAGAUGUCGGGUUAAGUCCUUUAACGAGCGAAACCCUUGCCGUUAGUUGCCAGCGAGUAAUGUCGGGGACUCUAACGGGACUGCCGGUGUUAAACCGGAGGAAGGUGGGGAUGACGUCAAGUCCUCAUGGCCUUUAUGCCCAGGGCUUCACACGUGCUACAAUGGUCACUACAGAGCGACGCGAUACCGCGAGGUGGAGCAAAUCGCAAAAAGUGGCCUCAGUUCGGAUUGCAGGCUGGCAACUCGCCUGCAUGAAGUUGGAAUCGCUAGUAAUCGCGUAUCAGCUACGACGCGGUGAAUGUGUUCCUGAGCCUUGUACACACCGCCCGUCAAGUGAUGGGAGUCGGGAGUACCCGAAGUCGGAUUGCUAACCCCUCGGGGAGGCGUCUGCCGACGGUAAGCUCGAUGACUGGCACUAAGUCGUAACAAGGUAGCCG